UUCCAGACUCCUACGGGAGGCAGCAGUGAGGAAUAUUGGUCAAUGGGCGGGAGCCUGAACCAGCCAAGUCGCGUGAGGGAAGACGGUCCUACGGAUUGUAAACCUCUUUUGCCGGGGAGCAACGGGGUCCUUGCGAGGGCCCGAUGAGAGUACCCGGAGAAAAAGCAUCGGCUAACUCCGUGCCAGCAGCCGCGGUAAUACGGAGGAUGCGAGCGUUAUCCGGAUUUAUUGGGUUUAAAGGGUGCGUAGGCGGACAGUCAAGUCAGCGGUAAAAAUGCGGUGCUCAACGCCGUACAGCCGUUGAAACUGGCAGUCUUGAGUGGGCGAGAAGUAUGCGGAAUGCGUGGUGUAGCGGUGAAAUGCAUAGAUAUCACGCAGAACUCCGAUUGCGAAGGCAGCAUACCGGCGCCCGACUGACGCUGAGGCACGAAAGCGUGGGUAUCGAACAGGAUUAGAUACCCGUGUAAG
This 468-nucleotide ribosomal RNA is filed under the name uncultured bacterium. RNAcentral's name for it is "partial 16S ribosomal RNA". It matches the Rfam family "Bacterial small subunit ribosomal RNA", at positions 329 to 793 of the family's 1533-position model. The record is from RNAcentral.